Molecule: transfer RNA, 64 nt
Filed under: Dilophotes sp. AN LB-2014
Lineage: Eukaryota; Metazoa; Arthropoda; Insecta; Coleoptera; Lycidae
Description: tRNA-Phe
Source: RNAcentral
UAUUUUAAUAGCUUAUUAGAGCAUAAUAUUGAAGAUAUUAAGGAGGUUUUUAAUCUUAGAAUAU